GAACAAGUCUUAUGCAAUG
RNAcentral lists this small nuclear RNA (19 nucleotides) under Arabidopsis thaliana (thale cress). RNAcentral's name for it is "snRNA_15787". Lineage: Eukaryota; Viridiplantae; Streptophyta; Magnoliopsida; Brassicales; Brassicaceae. The record is from RNAcentral.